RNAcentral lists this long non-coding RNA (758 nucleotides) under Callithrix jacchus (white-tufted-ear marmoset). Its description in RNAcentral is "lncRNA (ENSCJAG00000077915.1)". Lineage: Eukaryota; Metazoa; Chordata; Mammalia; Primates; Cebidae. The record is from RNAcentral.
UCACAGUCUUCUACCUGAUCGUCUUCUUCUUCCUGAUCCCGCUGACGGUGUUCGGCCUCUCGCUGGCCCGCUGGCCGGUGCUCGUGGGCGUCGGUGUGCCCGUCCUCUUGAUCGUUAUCCUGGUACUGUGCCUCCGCCUGCUGCAGUCCCGCUGCCCACGCAUCCUGCCCAAGAUACUCCAGAACUGGAACUGCCUGCCGCUGUGGAUGCGCUCGCUGAAGCCCUGGGACGCCGUGGUCUCCAAGCUGGCCGGCUGCUUCCAGCUGCGCUGUUGCUGCUGCUGCCGCCUGUGCUGCCUACUUUGUGGCUGCAAGUGCUGCCGCUGCAAUGGGCUUUGAUUAGCUGCCAUCUCCAUGCCUGCAAAGCUCCAGACUUUUCUCAGGGUGGGGAAAUCUGCACCCAGUUGGACUGCCCGGUGAAGUGAGAUCAUUGAAUACAGUCGAGUGCACGUGUGUCUGGAUCAAAGAAUCUUGUGGAUAAGAGACCGGGAGCAGAGACAGGCCCAGCAGCCAGCCAGCACUGUCACCAGACACGUGAAUGAAGCUACCUUAGAGCAUCCAGCCAGCAUCCUGCCUGACUGGUGGGACCAGCAGAACAGCCCAAAAAACCCCAUCCCUGAUUGCUGACAAUGGGGUACACAAAUAAAAUGGUGAUUAAAAAUAAAGGCAUUACAAUUUUGAGGUUGUUUGUUACACAGCACAAGAUAACUGAUACAGAAUUCAACACUCUGAAGUGUAGACUGUGGUUUCGGUCUGACG